GAUGAACGCUGGCGGCGUGCCUAAUACAUGCAAGUCGAGCGAACAGACGAGGCGCUUGCUCCUCUGACGUUAGCGGCGGACGGGUGAGUAACACGUGGAUAACCUACCUAUAAGACUGGGAUCACUUCGGGAAACCGGAGCUAAUACCGGAUAAUAUAUUGAACCGCAUGGUUCAAUAGUGAAAGACGGUUUUGCUGUCACUUAUAGAUGGAUCCGCGCCGCAUUAGCUAGUUGGUAAGGUAACGGCUUACCAAGGCUACGCUGCGUAGCCGACCUGAGAGGGUGAGCGGCCACACUGGAACUGAGACACGGUCCAGACUCCUACGGGAGGCAGCAGUAGGGAAUCUUCCGCAAUGGGCGAAAGCCUGACGGAGCAACGCCGCGUGAGUGAUGAAGGUCUUCGGAUCGUAAAACUCUGUUAUUAGGGAAGAACAAAUGUGUAAGUAACUAUGCACGUCUUGACGGUACCUAAUCAGAAAGCCACGGCUAACUACGUG
Molecule: ribosomal RNA, 497 nt
Filed under: uncultured bacterium
Lineage: Bacteria
Description: partial 16S ribosomal RNA
Rfam family: Bacterial small subunit ribosomal RNA
Source: RNAcentral